GAUGUACUCCCUCCGUCCCAAAAUUCUUGUCUUAGAUUUGUUCAGAUAUGAAUGUAUUUAGUCACGUUUUAGUAUUUUGAUACAUUCAUUUCAAGACAAACCUAAGACAAGAAUUUUGAAACGGAGGGAGUAUAUA
Non-coding RNA from Hordeum vulgare subsp. vulgare (domesticated barley), 136 nucleotides. The record is from Rfam. NCBI's taxonomy places the organism in Eukaryota, Viridiplantae, Streptophyta, Magnoliopsida, Poales, Poaceae.